Molecule: ribosomal RNA, 495 nt
Filed under: uncultured bacterium
Lineage: Bacteria
Description: partial 16S ribosomal RNA
Rfam family: Bacterial small subunit ribosomal RNA
Source: RNAcentral
GAUGAACGCUGGCGGCGUGCCUAAUACAUGCAAGUCGAACGAACAGAUGAGGAGCUUGCUCCUCUGACGUUAGCGGCGGACGGGUGAGUAACACGUGGAUAACCUACCUAUAAGACUGGGAUAACUUCGGGAAACCGGAGCUAAUACCGGAUAAUAUAUUGAACCGCAUGGUUCAAUAGUGAAAGACGGUUUUGCUGUCACUUAUAGAUGGAUCCGCGCCGCAUUAGCUAGUUGGUAAGGUAACGGCUUACCAAGGCAACGAUGCGUAGCCGACCUGAGAGGGUGAGCGGCCACACUGGAACUGAGACACGGUCCAGACUCCUACGGGAGGCAGCAGUAGGGAAUCUGCCGCAAGGGGCGAAAGCCUGACGGAGCAACGCCGCGUGAGUGAUGAAGGUCUUCGGAUCGUAAAACUCUGUUAUUAGGGAAGAACAAAUGUGUAAGUAACUAUGCACGUCUUGACGGUACCUAAUCAGAAAGCCACGGCUAACUACG